This 250-nucleotide ribosomal RNA is filed under the name uncultured bacterium. RNAcentral's name for it is "partial 16S ribosomal RNA". It matches the Rfam family "Bacterial small subunit ribosomal RNA", at positions 524 to 773 of the family's 1533-position model. The record is from RNAcentral.
UACGUAGGGGGCAAGCGUUGUUCGGAAUUACUGGGCGUAAAGGGCGUGUAGGCGGUGCGGUAUGUUGGACGUGAAAUCCCCGGGCUUAACUCGGGGCGGUCGUUCAAAACUGCCGUGCUAGAGUGUGGGAGAGGGAAGUGGAAUUCCCGGUGUAGCGGUGAAAUGCGUAGAUAUCGGGAAGAACACCUGUGGCGAAGGCGGCUUCCUGGCCCACAACUGACGCUGAGGCGCGAAAGCUAGGGGAGCAAAC